RNAcentral lists this ribosomal RNA (661 nucleotides) under uncultured bacterium. Its description in RNAcentral is "bacterial SSU rRNA". It matches the Rfam family "Bacterial small subunit ribosomal RNA", at positions 94 to 788 of the family's 1533-position model. The record is from RNAcentral.
AGUGGCGGACGGGUGAGUAACGCGUGAGAAUCUGCCUUCAGGUCGGGGACAACAGAGGGAAACUUCUGCUAAUCCCGGAUGAGCCUUAGGGUAAAAAAUUUAUUGCCUGGAGAUGAGCUCGCGUCUGAUUAGCUAGUUGGUAAGGUAAAAGCUUACCAAGGCAACGAUCAGUAGCUGGUCUGAGAGGAUGAGCAGCCACACUGGGACUGAGACACGGCCCAGACUCCUACGGGAGGCAGCAGUGGGGAAUUUUCCGCAAUGGGCGAAAGCCUGACGGAGCAAGACCGCGUGGGGGAGGAAGGCUCUAGGGUUGUAAACCCCUUUUCUUUGGGAAGAACAAAAUGACGGUACCAAAGGGAUCAGCCUCGGCUAACUCCGUGCCAGCAGCCGCGGUAAUACGGAGGAGGCAAGCGUUAUCCGGAAUGAUUGGGCGUAAAGCGUCCGCAGGUGGCAAUGUAAGUCUGCUGUCAAAACCCAGGGCUCAACUCUGGUCAGGCAGUGGAAACUACAUAGCUAGAGUUCGGUAGGGGCAAAGGGAAUUCCCGGUGUAGCGGUGAAAUGCGUAGAGAUCGGGAAGAACAUCGGUGGCGAAAGCGCUUUGCUAGACCGAAACUGACACUCAGGGACGAAAGCUAGGGGAGCGAAUGGGAUUAGAUACCCC